Molecule: small RNA, 982 nt
Filed under: Pan troglodytes (chimpanzee)
Lineage: Eukaryota; Metazoa; Chordata; Mammalia; Primates; Hominidae
Description: retained intron
Source: RNAcentral
CGAACUGUCUGCCUCCAGGCUUUGUCAUGGCGGCUGCUGCUGCACGCUGGAACCAUGUGUGGGUCGGCACCGAGACUGGGAUCUUGAAAGGUGGGUGGCAGGCUCGGGCGUCGGGAAGUGCAGGGGUGCACUCGCGCCCCUGGCGUGACUGACGCCUUCGUCUCUCAGGGGUAAAUCUUCAGCGAAAACAGGCGGCGAACUUCACGGCCGGAGGACAGCCGCGGCGCGAGGAGGCAGUGAGCGCCCUGUGUUGGGGCACCGGCGGCGAGACCCAGAUCCUGGUGGGCUGCGCGGACAGGACGGUGAAGCACUUCAGCACCGAGGAUGGCAUAUUCCAGGGUCAGAGACACUGCCCGGGCGGGGAGGGCACGUUCCGUGGCCUCGCCCAGGCCGACGGCACCCUCAUCACAUGUGUGGAUUCUGGGAUUCUCAGAGUCUGGCAUGACAAGGACAAGGACACAUCCUCCGACCCAGUGAGGCUCCCCUGCCCUGAUGGUUGGGGGAGGUGGGCUGGGGUAGGUGCCUAAUGAUCACGCUGGGGAAGGGAGGAUUAAGGACUCUGGAACGGACUCUUAUCUCCUAUUCUUUAUAGCUCCUGGAACUGAGAGUGGGCCCUGGGGUGUGUAGGAUGCGCCAAGACCCAGCACACCCCCAUGUGGUUGCCACAGGUGGGAAAGAGAAUGCUUUGAAGAUAUGGGACCUGCAGGGCUCUGAGGAACCUGUGUUCAGGGCCAAGAACGUGCGGAAUGACUGGCUGGACCUGCGGGUUCCCAUCUGGGACCAGGACAUACAGUUUCUCCCAGGAUCACAGAAGCUUGUCACCUGCACAGGGUACCACCAGGUCCGUGUUUAUGAUCCAGCAUCCCCCCAGCGCCGGCCAGUCCUAGAGACCACCUAUGGAGAGUACCCACUAACAGCCAUGACCCUCACUCCGGGAGGCAAGUGAGUGUUUAGAGGGGAAGGGGUGGGAGGGUGGGGCUUG